This is a long non-coding RNA of Piliocolobus tephrosceles (Ugandan red Colobus), 1508 nucleotides long. RefSeq lists it as uncharacterized. The record is from RefSeq and is a predicted model, not a curated record. The transcript is spliced from 3 exons. Lineage: Eukaryota; Metazoa; Chordata; Mammalia; Primates; Cercopithecidae.
CUAUGUUGGCCAGCCUGGUCUCGAACUCCUGACCUCAUGAUCCUCCCACCUUGGUCUCCCAAAGUGCUGGGAUUACAGGUGUGAGCCACAGCGCCCGGCCCAUCCUCAGCAAUAUUUUGACUGUUAGCUAAGUUUGAAGUUUUUGCAUUUUAUGGGUGAGAAUGAUAGCUUGUUUUAUUUUGCUUUCCCUGCAUUGCCAGUGAGAUAGAACUGUGUUGACUGGUUAUUUACAGUUCUCCUUUGCCCGUUCAGAUUCCUUGCUGCAUUUCCACAUGAGUUGUCUUACAAACAACUACACACAUUUGCUUUUUGGAAGUGUCAGUGCAAGGUAUCCCCCCUCAAAGAUGAUCUUAACUAGACAAUAUCCUUUACCCAAGUUAGGGGUAACUGGGUAGGAACUAGAUGGCAUGUAUGUCAGAAAACAUCUAUGAUACCAACCACAUGACAGUUCUGUUUCUCUGAUGUGAUAUUUGUGGUUGAGCCACCAUUACCAGAGAUAAAGUAAAACAAAUGGAAAAGGGUUGAGAAAGGGUGAACUGUAACUUAGUAUAAUUCACCUUGUGUCUUACUGGAAAGCCCUUCCCUGCGGCGCUAGUGUGGAGGGAGCCCCGUGGGCCCACAGUGGCUGCAGGCGUCCCUCUGGGGUACGGAGGAUGAAUGAACUGCCCGGGACCCUGGCUCUGUGUCAGAGGCAGGACUGUUCCACCUGCAGGUAAGGGACAGAGAGGAAGGGGCAGCAGGGGAACCCUGAGGCCUCUGUUUCUUGGGCGGAAGUUGUUUGUAUCGAUGGCUUGAAGUGGAUGAAAGGGAUAUGCCUCUAGGUUUCUAUUAAUAUUUUAUUUUUAAAAAUGUGAUUGCAAAUAUAGAAGAAAAUGCUCCAAAAUGUUAAUACUCAUUAUCUCAGGAAGGUGGAAUUAUAAAUAUCCUUAUUUACUGUAUACUUUUCCAGUUUUCUAAAGCAAGUUUCGCAUUAUUUCUGUAAUCAGGAAAAAGCUCUUAGGACUCUUACAGUUUGGAGGAGGCGGAGGCCCAGCGGCUGCACUGGCCGGCGGGCGUCCCACGUGGAGCACGGUUCCGGCCUAGGGGAGACGCCCUGGCUUCCGCUCGCUGCCCUUAGCAAGGCUCCCCCGAUGGAGGGUGACGCAGGAGGACGAAUGUUUCUUGUGCUGUUUGCAGCUGGAAGAAGACAAAUCACACAUAUGGAAGGAUCCCAUACAUGAGAAGAGCCAUGACAGCAGCGCUGAACAGCCCAGCCACAGGGACCGUCACGAACCAGGCCACGAAGAUGUUCCGAAAAAGGCGCCAGUCCACAGCCUUGCGGGAGCGGAUCCAGCCCACGGCCACCACUGAGCCCACCUGUGAGAGCACAGACAUUGCAAAGUAAAAACAGCUUUCACAUAUACAAAUUGUCGGCCAGGUGCAGUGGCUCACACCUGUAAUCCCAGCACUUUGGGAGGCCAAGGCGGGCGGAUACGAGGUCAGAAGAUCGAGACCAUCCUGGCUAACAU